UCGAGAAUCUUCGGCAAUGGGCGCAAGCCUGACCGAGCGACGCCGCGUGGAGGAAGAAGGCCUUCGGGUUGUAAACUCCUGUUGGGGGGGACCAAUUUAAUUGAGGGAUCCCCUGAGGAAGCACGGGCUAAGUUCGUGCCAGCAGCCGCGGUAAGACGAACCGUGCGAACGUUAUUCGGAAUCAUUGGGCUUAAAGCGCGCGUAGGCGGCGGCGUAAGCGGGGGGUGAAAGGCUAUCGGCUCAACCGUGGCAUGGCUCUCCGGACUGCGUCGCUUGAGGGGGACAGGGGCACGCGGAACUUCCAGUGGAGCGGUGAAAUGUGUUGAGAUUGGAAGGAACGCCAGUGGCGAAAGCGGCGUGCUGGAUCUCUCCUGACGCUGAGGCGCGAAAGCUAGGGGAGCAAACGG
RNAcentral lists this ribosomal RNA (407 nucleotides) under uncultured bacterium. RNAcentral's name for it is "bacterial SSU rRNA". It matches the Rfam family "Bacterial small subunit ribosomal RNA", at positions 355 to 775 of the family's 1533-position model. The record is from RNAcentral.